Molecule: transfer RNA, 72 nt
Filed under: Camelus bactrianus (Bactrian camel)
Lineage: Eukaryota; Metazoa; Chordata; Mammalia; Artiodactyla; Camelidae
Also listed under: 2 other names
Rfam family: tRNA
About the family: Transfer RNA (tRNA) molecules are approximately 80 nucleotides in length.
Source: Rfam by way of RNAcentral
GAGAAUAUAGCUCAGGGGUAGAGCGUGUGCUUAGCGUGCACAAGGUCCUGGGUCCAAUCCCCAGUACCUCCA